Long non-coding RNA from Solanum lycopersicum (tomato), 4213 nucleotides. RefSeq lists it as uncharacterized. Lineage: Eukaryota; Viridiplantae; Streptophyta; Magnoliopsida; Solanales; Solanaceae. The record is from RefSeq and is a predicted model, not a curated record.
GGAGAAAACCUUCCCCUCCCUCUCUCCACAGACCCCAGCCCCUCCCUUUUCCCCCUUCUUUCGCCCCCUUCACUCUCCUCUCCUGUCGCUCCCCCUUACCUCUCCCUUUUCCCUUUUCCAUCAGCCCCUCUCCCUCCCUCUUCUCCCCUCAUCCUCUCGUCUCUCUUCUCCUCCGGUGAAUAGCCAUGGAAUCAGCUCACCUCCGAGCUCACGCCACCACUGACGAGGAUGAAGCAGCAGUGCCAUCAGUCGCCGAAUUCGCCAGCGAAAACAAUAAACAACAACUCCAAACGGACAGCAGCUCAAGCCAUCUCCCUUCUUCUCCCCUGUUCCCUUCCCCCUCUUUUUCCGGCGAGUAACAACCAGCAUGCGAGACGGACAGCAGCAAGCCAUCAGCCACCAGCCCCUUUCCCUUCCUCCUCUCCCUCUUUCCGUUUGCCUCCCAGCCACUCCCUCUCCUCUCUUCCCUUCAAACCCACCUCCACAAACCACCGACAACCGCCACUAACAACCUCACCAAACAAAACCCCCAUCCCACUUUUCCUUUACAUUUUUAUUAUUUCAUUUUUUUUCAUUGCAGAUGAAUGAACCAGGGAGGUAAUAGCUCAAAAAAAAAUCAUCAAGUUUCGAGGCUUAUCAAUGGGAAACAAUCCAGAUCCAGCGUACAAUAGCUCCAAUGAGCUUUGAUAUUUUUCUUCAAUUUCUGGUAGAAAUCUUGAACUAUUUUACCAUUUUUUUGUUGAUUUUGUUCUAUGUUGAAUUUCACAUUUCACUUGAAUAUUUUUAUGUGGCUGCUUGUUUGGAAAUCUAUUCUGUUUAAGUAGAUUACUUUUAUUUAUUUAUCUUAUGUUUACUUUACGUUUAAGUUUACACUUCCCAUCUUGCUAAAAUUGUUCAUUGGAUAUUUAAAUAGUAUUACAUUGUUAUUUUUUCUUUUAGAAUACUUUAACUUACAUUAUUUUAUAUAUAUAGAGAUAAAUUCUUUUAGAUUGUUAACUCCGACGAUUAUUAUGUUAGCAAUUUCAUUUGGGUUUGUUUGAUUUCAAAAUUGUAUAGUGAAUUUUAUUUUUUCUAGCGAGCUCCCUGCUUCAAUCCUUAUAUCUUGGUUACUGUCAUGUGAAUGCUUGUUAGAUUUCAUUUAUUUGCGGUUUUUUUAGCUAUUGCUUCUAGUUUACUGUUAUUUUUAUUAGUUAAUAUAAUUUGUUUUCUUUCAAUUAUUAGUUAAAUGAUAACAUAUGUAAAGGUUAAAUUCAAUUAAUGAAGGUUGGUGUUAUAUUUUAGUUACUUAGCUUAAUAAAUGUUGAAGUUGGGAUUUCAUUACUUGAAUGUUGUUUUGUCUUUUUCAUUAAGAUUUUAUUUACAUUUUUGCUCAUUGUUUCAACAUUUUUAAUUAUACAUACUUCUUGCUCGUUGAAUUUUAAACUAAAUUGGCCAAUGAGAAAACUCUCCGUCGAUUUUGGAGGCCUUCCCAUUUUAGAAAGACGGAAUUUUAACUCAAGUUUAUAUAUUUUAAUUGUUAAAAGGGCCGAUGAAAAAUCUAUCCGUCGGGUUUAGAGGCCUUUCCAUUUCAAAAAGACGGAAUUUUAACUCAAGUUUAUAUAUUUUAGUUGUUAAAAGGGCCGAUGAAAAAUCUAUUCGUCGGGUUUAGAGGCCUUCCCAUUUUAAAAAUACGGAAUUUUAACUCAAGUUUAUAUAUUUUUGUUGUUAAAAUGGCCAAUGAAAAAUCUAUCCGUCGGGUUUAGAGGCCUUCCCAUUUUAAAAGACGGAAAUCUAAUUUAAAGUUUAUAUAUAAUUUUAGUUAUUGCAAUUGGCCGAUGAAGAAAUUACCGUCGAUUUCCAAGGCCUCCCAUGUUAAUAAGACGGAUUUUUAUUUUUAAUUAUUAUUUGGUUUAUUCAAUUUUAAUCAUAUUUAUUCUUUACUAACACUUUUACUAAGUGUGUUUACAGGUACCCGGAUGUGCUUUUCCUUUUAUUUCAUUAUUGUAAAUAUUGACGUUAGGCAAACCUUAGGCCGAUAAUUAUUAUUUUAUUUUAUUGUGCAUAUUAAAUGUUUAUUAUACUUGUACUUUAUUUUAUAUUCUUCCUCAAUUUGAAAAAAAUGAAUUCAGUCGGGAAUCACAUUUGUGGAUUCCGAAGGGUGCCUAACCCCUUCCCUUCGGAAUAACUUGAACCCCUUACCUAGAAUCAAUUUGGUUUCGUAGAUUAAUAAUUGGUUUUCUAGUUUUCCUAAAAUUAGGUGGCGACUUUUUUUUAAAACUCGUUUAUUUUUAAAACUUUGUUAAAAUUGAACAAUUAAUUAUUUUCUAGUUACCGCGACGUUUCGCCCUAUUUCGAAAGAUUAGGGAUGUAAACAGAAUGGCGACUCUGUUGGGGAGUUUAGAGGUUUUAACCAAUAUGAAUUUAAUGUUUUUUUUUCAAAUUGAGGAAAUUUUUGUUAUGUUAUAACUUGUAUUUUUAUAUUUUGCUGAUUAUUUGUAUAUUGUAUUUAUUUAUUAUUUAUUUAUUUUGUGUAUAUUAUCAUUGCAUUUCAUGACAUAAUUUUCAUCAACUGACAAAUAGUCUGCAUUAGGACAUAAGAAGUUUAUGUGGCUUACCACGACUUCCUUCAGAAAAACACACAAGUCUAAUCUUUGGAAGUAAUAAACGAAUAGUUGGCUUGCGGUCAUCCAACGCCGUUUAUUAGCUUCACCCCGUUGUCUGUCCGACUCGGGUAACCGUCACUUCUAUACCAAUUCUAGUCACCCUAGGAUAGAGCAAAACCAAAUCCGAAUUUAAGUAUCAGCCUAAGAUGACUCAACACCCAAGGCGUGUUGAGUCCAUUAGAAAGACCACCUUGAGUCCAUAAUGGCUUCUAGCCUAAAAGGACGACCAUAAUUGUGUGUAAUUUGAAGGAUGUAUACAUCUUUUGACAAACCACAGUACAUCUGAAUUAGAAGGUUAUUUUAAUAGUUUACAUUUGUCAAGCUCGAGUUUUCAGAAGCUAUCAUUCCAUUUAAAGGUGUUGACAAUCGGAGAUGACAAGAAUUUCAAGAGGAAGACCCUUCGACAAAGGCUUAGAAUAGGAUGGUACCCCUACGUGAGAUUGAAUAUUUGUAAUUUUUUUCCCUUCUUUCUUUUCAUUUGACUUUAUAAUUCUAUUUCAUUUGUUCAUAAAUUGUACUAAGUGUUUUGGGGGACAAUGGAAAGUUGUCAAAAGACGUUAUACAUCCUUCGAAUCGAUAGGCCUAAGGCAUAAAAGGGUCACAUAUUUGUAUAGGACGCGCCAUAAUUAUUUGUAUGAUAUGUGAUAUAUUUCAGUUUGUCUUUAAUAAAAACAGUGUUUAUGUGUUUUAUUCAUUAUUUGUGUGAUAUUUUACAUUAUUCAUUAUGUACAGGUAUUAACACUUUUACAUUUUGAGUUGUUCUUCUUUACAGCGAAAAUUAAUUUAUGUUCAAAUUCAGAAAUCACUUUUUGUCCGAAGUCACAAGAGACAAGAGGAUUAAAAAAAUUUGAGUCCUUGUAUUUCACAAGACGUUAAUAUCAAGUCAAAAAAUGAUAAAUCAGGGGAGUAUUUGACUAUAAGGUCGCAUCUACUUAUUUUUUUUAUUAUUUUGCAUGACGGUCCUGCUCUCACAUAUUUCUCAUAUUUUUGUAGGAAUACCGUCCCCGACAUCAGUCGGGGAUGGUCAUAACAGUAUUUGGAUCUCGUGAAAAUUGGAAGGAGACAAAGAUCCAAGAAAACAUCCAAAAAGAGUACAACAAAUCACUACUGUAGAAAUUCGUAGAUUCUUUGUAGCACUCAUCACCCACAAGAGGGAAACUACGUUUGACCUGAUUCCUGCUCCAAUGGGAUACGUAGGCGCCACAACGGCUCGGUCAUAUACACAAUGAAUGAACCAAGGAGGUAUUAGCUCUAAAAAAAAUCAUCAAGUUUCGAGGCUUAUCAAUGGGAAACAAUCCAGAUCCAGCGUACAAUAGCUCCAAUGAGCUUUGAUAUUUUUCUUCAAUUUCUGGUAGAAAUCUUGAACUAUUUUACCAGUUUUUUGUUGAUUUUGUUCUAUGUUGAAUUUCACAUUUCACUUGAACAUUUUUAUGUGGCUGCUUGUUUGGAAAUCUAUUCUGUUUAAGUAGAUUACUUUUAUUUAUUUAUCUUAUGUUUACUUUACGUUUAAGUUUACACUUCCUAUCUUGCUAAAAUUGUUCAUUGGAUAUUUAAAUAGCAUUACAUUGUUA